UUUAUACUCCCUCCAUCCGAAAAUACUUGUCAUCAAAAUGGAUGAAAAUAGAUGUAUCAAGAAUUAAAAUACGUCUAGAUACAUCCUCUUUUAUCCAUUUUGAUGACAAGUAUUUCCGGACGGAGGGAGUAUGAU
Non-coding RNA from Triticum aestivum (bread wheat), 135 nucleotides. Lineage: Eukaryota; Viridiplantae; Streptophyta; Magnoliopsida; Poales; Poaceae. The record is from Rfam.